RNAcentral lists this ribosomal RNA (387 nucleotides) under uncultured microorganism. RNAcentral's name for it is "bacterial SSU rRNA". It matches the Rfam family "Archaeal small subunit ribosomal RNA", at positions 330 to 671 of the family's 1478-position model. The record is from RNAcentral.
GCGCACCAGUCGCGAAACCUUCGCAAUGCAGGAAACUGCGACGAGGGAACUCCAAGUGCCUACGCUCAGCGUAGGCUGUUCUCAAGCCUAGAAAGCUUGAGGAGUAAGGGCUGGGUAAGACGGGUGCCAUCUGUGGUAGCAGUCAAUAGAUUCGAUUUGUUACUGCAAGGCAUAAGCCGCCGCGGUAAUACCCGCAGCCCAAGUGGUGGCCGCUUUUAUUGGGCCUAAAGCGUCCGUAGCCGGCCCGGUAAAUGCCUGGGUAAAUCGUGGAGCCCAACUUCACGAAUUCCGGGUAGACUGCCGAGCUCGGGACCGGAAGAGGGAGAGGGUACUUCAGGGGUAGGGGUGAAAAUUUCCUUUCCAUUAACGCUUUGCGCGAAGCGGAAA